Molecule: long non-coding RNA, 503 nt
Filed under: Olea europaea (common olive)
Lineage: Eukaryota; Viridiplantae; Streptophyta; Magnoliopsida; Lamiales; Oleaceae
Description: long non-coding RNA (OEUR_LNC013224)
Source: RNAcentral
UUCGUUACCAAUUACACCACUAAAAUUAUUUGAACAACAAAUGUCUGGGUAAAUUCAAUAAAGAUAGAUUUGCUCACACUCGACUUUGUCGAGCACGAUGUAAUAGAUUUCAAUAAUCUUUUAAUUAUUAGCAUUCUAGAACUCUAAAUAUUUGGUGAAAACAACAAACAUGCAUUCAUGUGCUCACAGAGUGGCCAUAUUAAGUGAAAGUAAGAAAAAAUUAUGAAAAACAAAGAAGAUGAACAGAAGAGAAGUAAAAGAAGAAAAAUAUAUACGAUCGUAGGAUUCACAUGAUUAAGGGCAUGUUUUCUAAUAUGAGAGCUGAUAUCCCAUCCCUCACUCACUUUUGACACGUUAAUAAUAUAGCGCACUCUGUCGACACAAUACCCCCCCCCCCCCCCCCCCCCCCCCCCCCCCCCCCCCCCCCCCCCCCCCCCCCCCCCCCCCCCCCCCCCCCCCCCCCCCCCCCCCCCCCCCCCCCCCCCCCCCCCCCCCCCCCCCCC